UGGGUUUGACAUCCCAGGAAUCCUGAAGAGAUGCGGGAGUGCCUUCGGGAACCUGGAGACAGGUGCUGCAUGGCUGUCGUCAGCUCGUGUCGUGAGAUGUUGGGUUAAGUCCCGCAACGAGCGCAACCCUUGCCCUUAGUUGCCAGCAUUCAGUUGGGAACUCUAAGGGGACCGCCGGUGACAAACCGGAGGAAGGUGGGGAUGACGUGUCGUUACCUUA
RNAcentral lists this unclassified non-coding RNA (220 nucleotides) under uncultured Gammaproteobacteria bacterium. RNAcentral's name for it is "contains 16S-23S intergenic spacer region". It matches the Rfam family "Bacterial small subunit ribosomal RNA", at positions 976 to 1197 of the family's 1533-position model. Lineage: Bacteria; Pseudomonadati; Pseudomonadota; Gammaproteobacteria. The record is from RNAcentral.